RNAcentral lists this non-coding RNA (144 nucleotides) under Bacillus gobiensis. RNAcentral's name for it is "FMN sequence". It matches the Rfam family "FMN riboswitch aptamer (RFN element)". Rfam says of the family: The RFN element is a highly conserved domain that is found frequently in the 5'-untranslated regions of prokaryotic mRNAs that encode for flavin mononucleotide (FMN) biosynthesis and transport proteins. This element is a metabolite-dependent riboswitch that directly binds FMN in the absence of proteins. In Bacillus subtilis, the riboswitch most likely controls gene expression by causing premature transcription termination within the 5' untranslated region of the ribDEAHT operon and precluding access to the ribosome-binding site of ypaA mRNA. Lineage: Bacteria; Bacillati; Bacillota; Bacilli; Caryophanales; Bacillaceae. The record is from Rfam by way of RNAcentral.
UGUAUCCUUCGGGGCUGGGUGAAAAUCCCGACCGACGGUAAUAAAGCUAUUGCUUUAGAGCCCGUGACCCGUUAGCAUCUGCUAACGGUUGAUUCAGUGAAAAGCUGGAGCCGACAGUGAAAGUCUGGAUGGGAGAAGGAUGAA